CUCAUGGAGACCACGUCAACCACCGGCCUAAGGAAAGCAGCGGGAAAGCUGUGAGUUGAAGCCAGAGAUGAAUCCAUGCUCAACCUGUGUGUGGCAGACUCCUAAGUACUUGCUAGGGAGGGUCCUCAAAACCAGCUCCAGGUCCUCAAAAUUAGUGUACAAGCUGUGGACACCACAGAGCAAAGCCACUGCUCAGAGAAAGCACACAUCCUGGUUGCUAUGUCUUCCAUGCACGGGGCCCUCACUAUGGACCAGACACUCCUAAGGGCCAUGCACCCUGUACGAUAUCUGAUCCCCCAUCUACCUUCCCUUUACAGAAAGUGUGACGCGGCUUAAGCAGCUUGUCUGAGUUUGCACAGCUGGCAAAUGGCUGAGCCAUGACUCACACCCAGGUCCAUCCACCGCCAAAGCUCCAGAUCUCUGGCAUCCUUCUAAGGUCAGAAAGGGAAAGAAAUCCCUAAUAAGGAGCCUGUGUGACGGCGUGCCCCCCUCCACUUUCCCACCCCUGCCAAGGACCCGUUUGAAGGCUGUUCACGCCAGUCACUGCAAUCACCAUUGAGCACAGAGAUGACAGUUCCAGCAAGCACUGACCUUCCAGCCCACUCUGCGGAGGAGAAGACUGAGGGGCAGAGAGGCUGUUGAUUUGCUGCAGUUGACUCUGACCCUAAUUUCCCGGCGCUGACUCAAACUCAUCAGGAACACUGCUUUCACUGAGUGUAUGAAGUGGUUUCUCCAUCCGUGUGGCUUUACCUGAACUCACACCGGUCCCACGGCCCAGGUGUGGAGCCGAGCACUCCCCUCUGCCUCCUCCCUGGACUGCAGGACCUGUGUCUCGCUUUAUGAAAGAGAUGCCAUUUGGGGAAGACUCGCAUUGUCGGGAGCGCUGUGGACGCUCCAGAAGGAGAUCAACACGAUGAUGACGAUGCCGGGUGGAGGGAAUGUGCACUUCUCGGGAGGAGGAGCCAAAAGCAUUUUGCUGACCUCGGUGCAGAUCAACCCUGCAACAAGGUGCAGAAGAGGCACCAAAGGGGCUUUGUAGCCAGCAACAUGCCAGAUCCAUGCACCUUGUUGAUGCAGCCGACUCUGCAGGGGUGCAGGAGGUGAGGACUCACACAGGGGUGCGGGAGGUGAGGACCCACGCAGGGGCGCAGGAGGUGAGGACCCACGCAGGGGUGCAGGAGGUGAGGAUCCACACAGGGGUGCAGGAGGUAAGUAUCCAUGCAAGGGUGCGGGAGGUGAAGACCCAAGCAGGGGUGCCAUCGAAGGCCAUGGGAGGGACAGCUCCAGGAACAGAGGCAAGGCCCACCCCACCCUGACUAUGAGGGGACAAGUCCAUGGCCAAGGGUCCAUGGCCAAGGAUCUUGGGAGCCAUUAUCUCUGCUACACGCCAUGCAAGCAGAGGUGCCCUCUGGCAACCAGAUGCCGCUCUGGGUACAGCCGAUGCAAACACGAGAGAAAGCGUCAACCAGAUGGGAUCAUCGGCCCAGGGACAGAGAGAGGGGGG
RNAcentral lists this long non-coding RNA (1504 nucleotides) under Homo sapiens (human). RNAcentral's name for it is "HSALNT0289907". Lineage: Eukaryota; Metazoa; Chordata; Mammalia; Primates; Hominidae. The record is from RNAcentral.